Molecule: ribosomal RNA, 254 nt
Filed under: uncultured bacterium
Lineage: Bacteria
Description: partial 16S ribosomal RNA
Rfam family: Bacterial small subunit ribosomal RNA
Source: RNAcentral
CACGUAGGGUGCGAGCGUUGUCCGGCAUUCUUGGGCGUAAAGAGCUCGUAGGCGGUGUGUCGCGUCGGCCGUGAAAACCUGCAGCUUAACUGUGGGCUUGCGGUCGAUACGGGCAUCACUGGAGUUCGGCAGGGGAGACUGGAAUUCCUGGUGUAGCGGUGAAAUGCGCAGAUAUCAGGAAGAACACCCGUGGCUAAGGCGGUUCUCUAGUACGGUACUGACGCUGAGACGCGAAAGCGUGGGGAGCGAACAGG